CCUACGGGAGGCAGCAGUGGGGGAUAUUGCACAAUGGGGGAAACCCUGAUGCAGCGACGCCGCGUGUGGGAAGACGGUCCUCUGGAUUGUAAACCACUGUCCCCAGGGACGACGAUGACGGUACCUGGGGAGGAAGCUCCGGCUAACUACGUGCCAGCAGCCGCGGUAAUACGUAGGGAGCGAGCGUUGUCCGGAAUUACUGGGGGAAAAGGGAGCGUAGGCGGGACUGAAAGUUGGGUGUCAAAUCUACCGGCUCAACCGGUAGCCGCACUCGAAACUGCAGUUCUUGAGUGAAGUAGAGGCAGGCGGAAUUCCUAGUGUAGCGGUGAAAUGCGUAGAUAUUAGGAGGAACACCAGUGGCGAAGGCGGCCUGCUGGGCUUUUACUGACGCUGAGGCUCGAAAGUGUGGGGAGCAAACAGGAUUAGAUACCCGUGUAGUC
Molecule: ribosomal RNA, 440 nt
Filed under: uncultured bacterium
Lineage: Bacteria
Description: partial 16S ribosomal RNA
Rfam family: Bacterial small subunit ribosomal RNA
Source: RNAcentral